This is a long non-coding RNA of Alligator mississippiensis (American alligator), 1064 nucleotides long. RefSeq lists it as uncharacterized. The record is from RefSeq and is a predicted model, not a curated record. The transcript has 3 exons. NCBI's taxonomy places the organism in Eukaryota, Metazoa, Chordata, Crocodylia, Alligatoridae.
AACAGCCCAGGAGAAAGGAGUUCUCUGCUGUGGAAAAGAAGAGAAGCCUGAUGAAGGUGCAGCAUCUGACACUGCUGUGGGAUGAAGAAUCCACGGAAAUACAGACACAUCCAGCUUUUCCUGAAAAACAAAGUACAGAUCCCUAGUCAAGAAAAGAUUAAGCUGUAAUUUCACACACCUCGGUAUAAAAUCAUUUCUAUAUACAUUACAGAAAGCUCCACCUCAUUCUACAGAAUCUUUUUGGAAGCCUAAAGUAGUUUAAUCGUUACUUCUCCAGUCCCCACUUUAGAAACCUGUAAAUGUAUACAAUAUGACAUCACGCUGUCAGGAAUUGCAUACACACUGAAAUCUGUUUUGCAGAAAUACAGGACUUCUGGAAAGGCCUUAAAGACCAUCUUAUUCUAACCUUCAGCAAUGAAACAGGAUUAAGUACACUUAAAUCCAUAACAGAUAAAUGCAUAAUUAAUUCAAUUCCACAAUGCCAGUUCCAAUUUGUGGCUUUUUGUUUAAAUCACUUGACUGUAGAGCUUAUUUCAAUGUCACUAUACUGUAAUUUUAUUGUACUCCAUUCAAAUGUGCCAAAAACUGAAGAGGAUGCAGCUACGACUAAGACUACGAGAAACUGAAAAUGACUAGCUGCCACCAUCAAGGCUUCCAAGAUCAACCACAAAAUAGACCAUUAGAAGCCAGAGGUUGGUUAGAGGCCUGCUAACAGAUGCCACAGCACUGACGGAGCUCCAAGCCACACUCCUUAAAUAUGGAGAGGUAUCAAUGGUGUGACAAUAACAACUCCAAAACGAAUAAGGUCUUCUCCUUUUAAAGGUUUCUAAUAGAAACCUCUUAAAACUGACUAUUAGCAGCUAUGAAAAGGACAGAUAGCCAGUUUUAUUGCUGAUAAUGCUAUAGCACAACACCACUGUGAACUUAACAAGCACCCUUUACAUUAAGUCUGGUCGCCCUCUGAGCUCAGCUGAUGUGUCCCCAGCUGCCUCCCUGCCAAGUUCUUCCUUGAUGACCCCAAGCCCAUAAUCCACGGGGUGCAAAAGGCAGAGACCCACCGCCGG